Non-coding RNA from Paramuricea clavata, 221 nucleotides. Lineage: Eukaryota; Metazoa; Cnidaria; Anthozoa; Malacalcyonacea; Plexauridae. The record is from the annotation of a GenBank genome assembly.
AAAAAAUUUUGCAGAUAAUAUAGUUCUUGUUGUUUUGAAUCGGUUUUUAAAAUUUUUUCGAUAUAAAUUUUCUACCUUUGACCAUUUGGACAAAGAUAUGCAAGUCGUACGUGUUAUUCUCGCCCAUGAAAGACGACAAGCAAAUUUUAAAACCUCAAGAAAUGUGGGAAAAAGACGAGACUUGAAUAUGGAUUUUAAUAUACAAAUAACAAAGGUAAGAG